CGGAUGAAUACGUGACACCCCGCACUUGCCAAAACAAAUUUAAAAAUCACCUUCUCAGGUGGAAUUUAGCCCACUUAAUACUCUGCCUGCUUCUGCUCCACAAAAGUGCUAAAUGUCAGUCUUACCAAUGAAUGAUUACAUUGCAGCAGGCCCAAUAUUCUCUCAGUUCUUCACUGCUGACAACUAUACUGUGGUGAGAUGGAGGGUUGUCAUUUCUGAAGCUUCAGAGUCCUGCUGGUACCACCAAUGCCCAUUGGAUUGCC
This is a non-coding RNA of Pelobates cultripes (western spadefoot toad), 263 nucleotides long. The record is from the annotation of a GenBank genome assembly. Lineage: Eukaryota; Metazoa; Chordata; Amphibia; Anura; Pelobatidae.